GAGCGCUGCGUGCGCGCAGUCGAAGCGACGCCAGAGUUCGGUUUCUAGUUCCUCCCUAGAGGAGGCCAACAGAGGAGAUGAUCCAUCGCCAUCUCCUGAGAAGAAAACGAGGGGUACCUUAGAGAGAGGAAUGAGCACUGAACAAAAUGACAAAAACUCUUUGCCCUGUUGCAUGAGUUUACAUUCAAGAAGUGGCAUAAAGACAAUAAACAGAAGAAGGAAAACGUUUACAGUAUGGAGGAAAAUUAAGCAGGCCACCAAGGACUACCAGAUAUCUGAUGAAAGCCUGUUAUAUAGAAGAUAGAGACCAAAACAAACAAGCACAAACAGAAGAAGCAUCUUGGAAAAAACAGAAAUUAGUCAAGACUUAAAAGCGACAGCCAAAGUCAUAUCCUCAGAGAGAGAAGAGGGGAUGUUGCAUCCAUUAAAUAAGAACUAAAGCUAUGGAAAUGGAAGAUUUAGCGGGAGGAAACCCAACUGCUCUUGGAAAUUAAAAACAUGGUAGCAGAAAACAAAUACUUGUGCUGUCCAGUGUGCUAACCACUAACCACUCUACUGAGAAGCAAAUUACUUAAAAUUAACAAAAUUAAAAAUUUAACUCCUCGUUUGCGCUA
Long non-coding RNA from Hippopotamus amphibius kiboko, 614 nucleotides. RefSeq lists it as uncharacterized. The transcript is spliced from 3 exons. The record is from RefSeq and is a predicted model, not a curated record. Lineage: Eukaryota; Metazoa; Chordata; Mammalia; Artiodactyla; Hippopotamidae.